RNAcentral lists this small RNA (317 nucleotides) under Bos grunniens (domestic yak). RNAcentral's name for it is "7SK RNA". It matches the Rfam family "7SK RNA". Rfam says of the family: 7SK was discovered as an abundant small nuclear RNA in the mid-70s but a possible function has only recently been suggested. Two independent studies have found that 7SK RNA binds the CDK9/cyclin T complex (known as elongation factor P-TEFb). Lineage: Eukaryota; Metazoa; Chordata; Mammalia; Artiodactyla; Bovidae. The record is from Rfam by way of RNAcentral. RNAcentral also lists the same sequence under 1 other name.
GAAUGUAAGGGCAAUCUGGCUGUGCAGCAUGUCACUUGGUGAAUAUCUAGUGCACCGUGCAGCAGUCUAGCUAACCAGGUAGAUGUUAUUUCCCCUACUGCCCUCUUUAUAUGCGGCCCUCCAGAAGCUGUUUCCUGGCCAAGACUAUGUCUUUGCCCUAAGAGGAGAACUUUUCAUUAGACAAGUGCAUCUAAGUAUCUGCUGCUGCUGCUAAGUCACUUCAGUCGUGUCCAACUCUGUGCGACCCCAUAGACGGCAGCUACCAGGCUCCUCUGUCCAUGGGAUUUUCCAGGCAAAGUACUGGAGUGAGGUGCCAU